GAACAGCUGGCAAAAAGAGAAAGAGAGAGAGAGCAGAGAAAAGACAGAAGACAGAAGACAGACGAUAGGGAAGGGACAUUCAUCUGCUGCCUCACUCCACAGAGUUAACACACCAGGGCUUUUGGCUGCAUCUCCACGCAAGCGAAAAACAUUCAUUUAAUUUUUCUGCCCAGGGCGCAUGCUCAAAACCAACGGACAGUGCAGCUGUUUUAACCAGGAGUCCGUAGAGACACUGAACCAUUUUUAAAGAUGACCACUUCAUGGAGUGACCGACUGCAGAACUUUGCAGACUUGCCUGCCAACAUGGACAGACUGUCAAUGAAAAAAUACAGGAGAGAGCCCUACCACAGAGUGUUUGUUAACAGAAGUUUGGCCAUGGAGAAGAUUAAGUGCUUUGGCUUUGACAUGGAUUACACUUUAGCAGUGUACAAGUCACCGGAGUACGAGUCACUGGGCUUUGAGCUCACAGUGGAGCGCCUGGUUUCCAUCGGUUACCCCCAGGAGCUGCUCAGCUUUGUGUAUGACCCGUCCUUCCCCACCAGGGGCCUUGUGUUUGAUACCAUGUAUGGAAACCUCUUAAAGGUUGAUGCCUACGGUAAUAUCCUGGUCUGUGUCCACGGAUUCAACUUCCUGCGAGGCCCUGAGACUCGUGAACGGUACCCAAACAAGUUCAUCCAGAGAGAUGAUACGGAGCGCUUUUAUAUCCUCAACACGCUCUUUAACCUGCCAGAGACCUACCUCUUUGCCUGCCUCGUUGACUUUUUCUCCAACUGUGACAGAUAUGCAAGCUGUGAAACUGGCUUCAAAGAUGGCGAUCUCUUCAUGUCCUAUAAGAGCAUGUUCCAGGACGUCCGCGAUGCCGUUGACUGGGUCCACUUCAAGGGUACUCUGAAGGAAAAGACUGUCGAGAACCUGGAGAAAUAUGUAGUCAAAGAUGGGAAGCUGCCUCUUCUGCUCAGCAGAAUGAAUGAAGUAGCCAAGGUUUUCUUGGCGACUAACAGUGACUACAAAUACACUCAUAAAAUCAUGACCUACCUGUUUGACUUCCCCCAUGGCCCCAAGCCUGGUACCUCCCACCGGCCCUGGCAGUCCUACUUUGACCUGAUCCUGGUCGAUGCCAGGAAGCCGCUCUUCUUCGGGGAGGGUACGGUGCUCAGACAAGUCGACACGACAACAGGGCGUUUAAAGAUUGGAACCUACACUGGACCUCUGCAGCAUGGGAUAGUCUACUCUGGAGGUUCAUCAGACAUUGUGUGCGACCUGCUGGGAGCCAAGGGCAAGGACAUAGUUUACAUCGGGGACCAUAUCUUUGGAGACAUCCUCAAGUCCAAGAAGCGUCAAGGCUGGAGGACGUUCCUGGUCAUACCCGAGUUGGCCCAGGAGCUGCACGUGUGGACGGACAAGAGCUCAUUAUUUGAGGAGCUGCAGGGCCUGGACAUUUUCUUGGCUGAACUUUACAAACAUCUGGACAGCAGCAGUAACGAGAGACCAGACAUCAGCACUCUUCAGAGAAGAGUCAAGAAAGUGACACAUGACAUGGACAUGUGCUACGGCAUGAUGGGAAGCCUCUUCCGCAGCGGAUCCAGACAAACCCUGUUUGCCUCGCAGGUGAUGCGUUACGCCGACCUGUACGCCGCCUCCUUCAUCAACCUCCUCUACUACCCGUUCAGCUACCUCUUCCGAGCGGCUCACGUCCUGAUGCCCCACGAGUCGACGGUUGAGCACACCCACGUGGACAUCGACGCAGAGUCGCCGCUGGCCACGCGCAACCGCACCCACUGCAGCGACUGCAAGGACCUGGAUUGCAAGCGCAACCAGCUGACACGCUCCUUCAGCGAGAUCAAACCCCCCAACCUGUUCCCGCAGACUCCUCAAGAGAUCACCCACUGCCACGACGAGGAUGACGACGAGGAGGAGGAGGAGGAAGAGGAGGAGGAGGAGGAAGAAGAAGAAGAAGAGGAGGAGUAAUAUGGCGGGAAACGGAGAGGAGAGCCAUGUUCCUGCUUCUGCCUUCAUGUUUUCCCACUUGAGUCAGACUCAGACUGUAGCAUCCUGAGUGACAGUGAGCUGCAGAUCAGCUGGAUUAUAAACUGAAGCACAGGAGCGCUGAAGCACAGGAGCACUGAAGCACAAGCAGGCGCCAAACCAUUAAAUCAUCAUCAGAUGCAAAUUUUUUUUUUUAUGUUUAGAGAACAUGUGGCACACAAAGUGAUAUUCUGUCACCUAGCAACAAUGAGGGCAGAUGCAACUGUGUAAAAUAAAUGCCAACAGUCUCUAUGGCAACCCCAGACUACAGUCGUGUUUCUGUAAAGUAUUUUUACAGAACACAAGAGGCCUUUUAUUUUGAUGACAACAUGUGUGUGUGUAUAUAUAUAUAUAUACAUAUAUAUAUAUAUAUAUACACACACACAUAUACACACAUAUUUUUUAGCAGCUUCAUGACGAGUGUGACGUGAGAAUGUGAUGAAUGUGAGAGUGGCAUCUUUUUGUUUUGACAGGACGAAGCUUAUUGAACUCCCAACUUCAUGUAAAAACGUGAUGUUUAAAUCCUGCAUAUUCCUUUUAAAGCAUCACAAGUAUUCAUGAAUGAAUGAGGAUGUCCUAUCUAUCAAAAGGGUUGGUUAUUUUGACUCGGUUUUGUGUGUUUUGAUUUCAGUGACCGUAUGUGGUUUUAUGCACAUGAUCAAUUCUUGUAAGACAAGCAAAAAAAGAGGGAAAGAAUGUUUUAGAAAUGCCCUGAACAGGUUAUCAUAGUAGCUGUAUAACAAAAAAGUGUCAUGGAAACGAAAGCGGGAGGAAAAAAGGCAGCAGAGCAAAGAUUAGACUGUGUCAGAUUAACACUUAAACCAUUUUUCACAUCAUGUUUUUCCCACAUCCUUUCUAUUUGCGUCACCAGUUGCUCUCAGUCGUCAUCAGCGCACAAGAACUCCCUUAGUCUAAAUCAGAGCUAAGUGUAGGUGGAAACUUGAAUGUGAUUUAAGAUGUUCUAACUGGUUAUUAUUUUGUCCAACUUUGUCCUCAAAGAUGCUCUGAUGUGUUCAAACUCUGUCUCAUUGACUUAUUGGACUCUGGACACACAGUCAUGACACGUCCCUGUGUCCAGUUUUUCAAAACAUGCAGAGACGCAGCCUGAGUUUGACACACGCUGACUUUUUUCUCCCUCUUUUGUUGUUUCCCGUCAUAUUGAUCCGUGUUGAAGUCGAUUCGAGCCACAAAAAGGGAAGAAAAAUGCUGUUGUGGUUACUCCAUCCUUUGCUUUUUCCUUUCUUUUGUUUCUUAACUGUUUUAAUGCUGUAAUGUUAGUUCCUGAAUGUGGGAAUAACUGGAUGAUAUUAUGCUAAACGAGGCAGGUGCAUCAGCGGCAUAAUGCAUGUGAUAAACCAUGAAAUGUGUUCUGUCACGCUGAUUUAUAAAAGCAUUUUUUGUGGACUGCGUCAUUUUCAUAGCAAAAAAACUGUAAAAAAUAGAUUUUUUUUUAAAAAAAAGAAGAAAAAUUUAAAUGAAGGGAAAUGUGAAUAGCAUGUUAAGAACUGUAACUAUAAUGUUGCUUGUAAUCAACACCUUUAUGGUUAUUUUUAUUUUAAGUGGUUUACAGAUUUGUAAGUGGACCGUUCCAUUUCCUUUUCAUAUCAUUUCUGUUGUUUUUAGAAGACGUGUUUUCUAUUCUAUUUUCUUUUGAUGCAAAAACCACAGCCGCUCAGAUUUUGAUGACAGAUUUGUGAACACUU
Molecule: RNA transcript, 3728 nt
Organism: Solea senegalensis (Senegalese sole)
Lineage: Eukaryota; Metazoa; Chordata; Actinopteri; Pleuronectiformes; Soleidae
Gene: nt5c2b
Gene name: 5'-nucleotidase, cytosolic IIb
Exons: 19
Source: RefSeq, a predicted model, not a curated record